GACAGAGGGUGCAAACGUUGUUCGGAAUUACUGGGCGUAAAGCGCGUGUAGGCGGCUAAGUAAGUCGGGCGUGAAAUCCCACGGCUCAACCGUGGAAGUGCACUCGAAACUGCAUAGCUAGAGUCCUGGAGAGGAAGGUGGAAUGCUUGGUGUAGAGGUGAAAUUCGUAGAUAUUCGGAAGAACACCAGUGGCGAAGGCGAACUCACUGGACACAUAUUGACGCUGAGGUGCGAAAGCGUGGGGAGCAAACAGG
This 254-nucleotide ribosomal RNA is filed under the name uncultured bacterium. RNAcentral describes it as "partial 16S ribosomal RNA". It matches the Rfam family "Bacterial small subunit ribosomal RNA", at positions 524 to 776 of the family's 1533-position model. The record is from RNAcentral.